This 72-nucleotide transfer RNA is filed under the name Rhipicephalus sanguineus (brown dog tick). RNAcentral's name for it is "transfer RNA glutamine (anticodon UUG)". It matches the Rfam family "tRNA". From Rfam's summary of the family: Transfer RNA (tRNA) molecules are approximately 80 nucleotides in length. Their secondary structure includes four short double-helical elements and three loops (D, anti-codon, and T loops). The record is from Rfam by way of RNAcentral. Lineage: Eukaryota; Metazoa; Arthropoda; Arachnida; Ixodida; Ixodidae.
GGUCUCAUGGUGUAAUGGUCAGUACUCUGGACUUUGAAUCCAGCGAUCCGAGUUCGAAUCUCGGUGAGACCU